CUGUCCCCGCCCCGCUUUCCCAGCAGGACGCAGCCGCCUGGCGUGCGGAGAGCGGCCUGUCGCGCGCUGGGCGCAGGGACUCAGGGUCCCAGCAGUGGGUCGCGCACCUGAGCUAUCUCCAUCCUCGGAGACCGACGAGCUCUCAGUGUCCUCGUCCUCGGAGCUGCUCCCCUCAUUUUCGGCGUAGUCCACCUCCAUCUCAUCAUGAUGGUUGGUCUCCUUCUUAUCCCCUCGGGAAUGGACUGGCAUUUUCCAGCCGCGCCGUCGCUUUCCACUACCGGCGCCCAGCCCGGCCACCGCCGCUUCAAUGAAGGGCGCGCGGAACGCCCCAACCCACCCAGCCGCCGAGCUUGCUCGCCCCCUUGGCUCCUCCCCGCCCCCGGCCCGGGCCUCACAACCUAACCCGCAGGCUCUGCGAUGGGAGCUCUGCCAUUGGCGGAGGCCUUCCACCGAGCCAGAGGGCGGGGCUUGCCCUGCUCUGGUACGAUUGGUUGCCCGCAAUUACGACGCGGCCUUCCGAUGCUUGCCGGGAGUUGUAGUUCGUAGGUCUCAGACCUGCAGGGGCUGCACGCUUCCAUCCCUCCGCAGCCCUGAUCACUUCUUCCUUCUGGACUUCAAGUCCCACAAGGCACGAAAGCUGACACUCUGGAUCGCAGUUUAUAAACUAAACAGAAACAGAUUGUGCGAAUUUAGUCUGUAUUUAUCUAUUUCCCGCCAAGUGAUUGUUUGACCUGCCUGACCAUCAGAGAUGUUACUGUUAGAUGUGAAAAUGUCUUUUGCCUAAAAGGAUCUUUGCCUGCUCAUUGAGCCUGGGGAACUGGAGAACCAUCUCUUUUACUAAGCACCUUUAUUACCUGCCAUUAAUAAACUGUUUUAUUUAAUUAUUAACUAUAGACGAUAACUUGCACUUUCUAUGUUGUGCAAAAAUCUUUAAAUUAUUCUUGAAACUUUUACAAUACAGAAGGUAAGGAAGUUUUAUCUUGGCAUUUUCAAUCUAAUAUUUUUGGCAUUUAUUUUUUACCAAAUGCAGUCGGAAAAUGCCAUCAGUCCUGAUUUAACUUUAGUUUUCAAUGAAAAAUACAUACUUAAUGAGAUGUACUUUCUCAAAAAAAGGGUACAUAGAACAUCUGGUGGAACCCCAUGAUGGCGGUCUUCAUCCACCUUAAGCUGGCCCACAACCAUGCUGAUGAUGCAGCUAUGCGGCGUGAGCUGAUGGUCCUGCGCGGUGAUGCUGUGCUGGAUUUUCUGGAACCGAAGGCUAGACAACUUCUCCACAAUGGCAGCUUUCCCCUGGAACUGUUGUCCUUCCCACGUAAGGCAUGAUGCGUCAAUAUAAAUUGCGCCUAGUUGGGGUCUAUCGUUAUCAAAUAACUGGUAGUAAUGUGGAAUGAAGCUGGAUCCUAUCUGCUCCCAAAUUGGCUUGUCUCCCACUCUGGACCGUCAGCCGGCCUCGCGGAGACCCGAGGGGCUGGCACGAUGGCUGCAGCGGCGGCGGCAACCCAGCACGGUCUCAAAAUGCUCAUAUUUUUAAGUGGUCUCAUGCAUUACAUAUGCUACAACUUGACUUUCUCCUUAGUGACGUUUUUGAGAUUUACCCAUUGUGAUUCAGGUAGCUCUCAUCCAGUUAUUUUUACCUGCCACAACAUGUUCCAUUUAGUAAAUAUAUUCUAUUGAAUGAAUAUUACAGUUUACCCAUUUACCUAUUAAUGGACAGGGAGGCUGCUCCCAAUUUUUUCACUAUUAAAAACAUUUGUCUCAGACCCAGCACAGUGGCUUACGCCUGUAGUGCCAGCACUUUGACAGGCUGAGGCAGGCGGAUCGCUUGAGAUUGGGAGUUGGAGACCAGCCUGGGCAACAUGGCGAAACCCCGUCUCAACAAAAAAUACAAAAAUUAGCUGGGCGUGGUGGUGCGUGCCUGUAGUCCCAACUACUUGGGAGGUUGAGGUAGGAGGAUGGCUUGAGCCUGGGAGGUCCAGGCUUCAGUGAGCUGUGAUUGUGCCACUUCACUCCAGCCUGGGUGACAGACAGAGUAAGCCCCUGUCUUA
This 2045-nucleotide non-coding RNA is filed under the name Pan troglodytes (chimpanzee). Lineage: Eukaryota; Metazoa; Chordata; Mammalia; Primates; Hominidae. The record is from RNAcentral.